This 391-nucleotide ribosomal RNA is filed under the name uncultured bacterium. Its description in RNAcentral is "bacterial SSU rRNA". It matches the Rfam family "Bacterial small subunit ribosomal RNA", at positions 28 to 419 of the family's 1533-position model. The record is from RNAcentral.
GACGAACGCUGGCGGCGUGCUUAACACAUGCAAGUCGAACGAGGCUCCUUCUUCGGUUGGGGUUCUAGUGGCGAACGGGUGAGUAACACGUGAGUAAUCUGCCCUUCACUUCGGGAUAACCGCCGGAAACGGUGGCUAAUACCGGAUACGACGCGCUCUCGCAUGAGAUGUGCGUGGAAAGUCUUCUCGGUGGAGGAUGUGCUCGCGGCCUAUCAGCUAGUUGGUGAGGUAACGGCUCACCAAGGCUUCGACGGGUAGCCGGCCUGAGAGGGUGACCGGCCACACUGGGACUGAGACACGGCCCAGACUCCUACGGGAGGCAGCAGUGGGGAAUAUUGGACAAUGGGCGAAAGCCUGAUCCAGCAACGCCGCGUGAGGGAUGACGGCCUGG